GAUGAACGCUGGCGGCGUGCCUAAUACAUGCAAGUCGAGCGAACGGACGAGAAGCUUGCUUCUCUGAUGUUAGCGGCGGACGGGUGAGUAACACGUGGAUAACCUACCUAUAAGACUGGGAUAACUUCGGGAAACCGGAGCUAAUACCGGAUAAUAUUUUGAACCGCAUGGUUCAAAAGUGAAAGACGGUCUUGCUGUCACUUAUAGAUGGAUCCGCGCUGCAUUAGCUAGUUGGUAAGGUAACGGCUUACCAAGGCAACGAUGCAUAGCCGACCUGAGAGGGUGAUCGGCCACACUGGAACUGAGACACGGUCCAGACUCCUACGGGAGGCAGCAGUAGGGAAUCUUCCGCAAUGGGCGAAAGCCUGACGGAGCAACGCCGCGUGAGUGAUGAAGGCCUUCGGAUCGUAAAACUCUGUUAUUAGGGAAGAACAUAUGUGUAAGUAACUGUGCGCAUCUUGACGGUACCUAAUCAGAAAGCCACGGCUAACUACGUG
RNAcentral lists this ribosomal RNA (497 nucleotides) under uncultured bacterium. RNAcentral describes it as "partial 16S ribosomal RNA". It matches the Rfam family "Bacterial small subunit ribosomal RNA", at positions 28 to 507 of the family's 1533-position model. The record is from RNAcentral.